GGGGAUUUAGCUCAGCGGUAGAGCGCUUGCCUAGGAAGCUCAAGGCCCUGGGUUCGGUCCCCAGCUCCA
Molecule: non-coding RNA, 69 nt
Organism: Rattus norvegicus (Norway rat)
Lineage: Eukaryota; Metazoa; Chordata; Mammalia; Rodentia; Muridae
Source: Rfam